This 253-nucleotide ribosomal RNA is filed under the name uncultured bacterium. Its description in RNAcentral is "partial 16S ribosomal RNA". It matches the Rfam family "Bacterial small subunit ribosomal RNA", at positions 524 to 776 of the family's 1533-position model. The record is from RNAcentral.
GACAGAGGCCUCGAGCGUUAGGCGGAAUCACUGGGCUUAAAGCGUGUGUAGGCGGGCCCGUAAGUGUCUUGUGAAAUCCCACGGCUCAACCGUGGAACUGCUGGGCAUACUGCGGGUCUUGGGCCAACUAGGGGCAGCCGGAACAAGCGGUGGAGCGGUGAAAUGCGUAGAUAUCAUUUGGAACGCCAAUGGUGAAAACAGGUAGCUGGGGCUGUGCUGACGCUGAGACACGAAAGCCAGGGGAGCAAACGGG